RNAcentral lists this long non-coding RNA (690 nucleotides) under Apteryx owenii (little spotted kiwi). RNAcentral describes it as "lncRNA (ENSAOWG00000006166.1)". Lineage: Eukaryota; Metazoa; Chordata; Aves; Apterygiformes; Apterygidae. The record is from RNAcentral.
GGCCAAACCUCUACUUCAACACCUUCUGGCUUGGCCAGACCAAGGCUGAAAGCUUUCGUAAAAGUUGGGCUCUGAGAUGGGCUGGCUGGCUAACCUCCCCUCCCACUGCUCUGACCGCAAUUUGCGUUUCAAGUCUACAGCCCCCAAAUUUGCAGCCUUCACUUCCUCAUCCUGACCUCCUGCUUGCACUCCCGGACCUUCUGACUGUUUUUACAGCUCUGUCUGGAGAGAGCUUCUGAAGGAGUCUCACAUGGACACCUUGGGUCUACAGUCCCAGGUCUUGUCAUUGUCCUUUGGACCAAAUGGUGGUAAGAAGUACCUCAUAACUAAUGCACUUUGGAGCCUGUUGGGAUGGAUGAGGCUAGCAUUGGAUGAAGUCACUAUUUGAUAGUGAGCUACGGACCAGAAAUGGAAAUUGGAGACGUAAUUUACCAUCGGAAAGAAGACUUCCUUCUUUUGGAAGCUGGACGGCUGGACCAGGAAACUCUGAAGACUUGAAACACUGAAACAAAAUCCCUCAGCAAAGAAAGGGCAGGCGGGUUAAUUCCAGGUUGUGCGGACCCUGAACGCCAAAUAGCAUGUGAAUAUAACUAAGCUGCGCAACUUUACGGGUUCAGUAUAAAUUCAAAGUCUGUUCCUUUCAAGCAAACUCCAGAAAACAUCGUGAAAUAGUCGUUCACGGGUCCCUGC